AGAGUUUGAUCCUGGCUCAGGACGAACGCUGGCGGCGUGCUUAACACAUGCAAGUGGAGCGACGAACCGGGCUUCGGCCCGGGGCCAAGCCGCGAACGGGUGAGUAUCACGUGGGUAACCUGCCCCGAUGACCGGGAUAACCCGAGGAAACUCGGGCUAAUACCGGAUGUGCUCUCAAUCCACCAGGGUUGAGCGCAAAGGAAGCUUCGGCCUCCGCAUCGGGAUGGGCCCGCGGCCCAUUAGCUUGUUGGUGAGGUAACGGCUCACCAAGGCGACGAUGGGUAGCUGGUCUGAGAGGACGAUCAGCCACACUGGGACUGAGACACGGCCCAGACUCCUACGGGAGGCAGCAGUGGGGAAUCUUGCGCAAUGCGCGAAAGCGUGACGCAGCAACGCCGCGUGAGGGAAGAAGGCCUUCGGGUUGUAAACCUCUUUCAGGAGGGACGAAGGUUCAGGCGCGAAACAGCGACCCGGACUGACGGUACCUCCAGAAGAAGCCCCGGCUAACUACGUGCCAGCAGCCGCGGUAAUACGUAGGGGGGCUAGCCGUUGUCCCCGCAUCAUUGGGGCGCACAGC
Molecule: ribosomal RNA, 577 nt
Filed under: uncultured Actinomycetes bacterium
Lineage: Bacteria; Bacillati; Actinomycetota; Actinomycetes
Description: bacterial SSU rRNA
Rfam family: Bacterial small subunit ribosomal RNA
Source: RNAcentral